RNAcentral lists this ribosomal RNA (113 nucleotides) under Eumeta japonica. The record is from RNAcentral. Lineage: Eukaryota; Metazoa; Arthropoda; Insecta; Lepidoptera; Psychidae.
AACGUCCAUACCACGCUGAGUCCACCGGUUCUCGUCCGAUCACCGAAGUUAAGCAGCUGCGGGCGCGGUCAGUACUUGGAUGGGUGACCGCCUGGGAACACCGCGUGAUGUUA